AUUAGUGGAGAUAUCCAGAAGGUUAUUUCAAUUGUUAUAAUUGCUUCAAAAAGUUUAGGUAUUGCUGAAAACUUUGCAAUUUCCCUAUACUUUUCAAUGGAUAACAUAAAUCCACUCUUAUGCAAAGGAGUUAUUAAUGACUUUUUCAUAUAGAUGGAAAUGAACCUUGCUUAAGAGAUGUAUUAAAUAGUUUUGUUAAGGGUUGGUAUAUGCAUACAUAUAUUUGGCAUAGUAUAUCUGGGCCAUAAUUAAAUGAUAGUUCUAACAUAUUUAACUGAUAUAAGACGUCUGCUUCGGAAAUGGUGGGUGCAUUAAUUACAAAAAUCGGACAUAACUUGUGCUGAUGCGUAACAUUUUUAGAGUUUUUAAAAAGUAAUUGGACCUAAAGAACUUAGCAAACAUAUUAGAAAUUGUGUGAUUGUCACUGGACAUAGUAGACUUAUAUUUCAUCGCUGACGGAAAAUUAGAAUUCUUGCGUUUGGAGUUGGCGAAACCAUAGAACAAUUUUGGAUUACCUAUAAUAUUAUUUUUUCUUGGUUUAUAUAAUUAUUAGAACAUAUUUUGUUAAGGCGAAAUAAAUUAAAAUUAGCCAACACCCAAUUAAAGUCAAUUUGAAUUGCUUCAAUAGUACAAUAUAACAGAGAUACUUUUCUUAACAGAUCACUUAAUCAAGAUAUUUUCACAAUAAAAUUUUAAAUAUAAAUCAAACAACUUUGCAAGAGCACGAAAUUUCACAAUUGAGCACGAGAAGGGUUGCCAGAUAAAAUUGUACAAACAUAUUGAAACAUUUCCAGCUUUUCACCAACACUGUUACAUUUUCUGCAAUUUUCAAAUGAAUGGGAGCAAGCGUAAAUAAGAGAAACUGCAGCUGUUUGGUGGUUAUAAAUACGUUUAAUCAAACCGCUGCCUUUGAAACUGUGUAGUAGCGUUGGGAAUAACUGUGCUUGUCACCAAUUGUUAUUAACUAACAAAUAUUUUUAAUAUAGUAUGUUUUUCUUUACUACAGUUAUCCAAUUGUAAGCGAUGGCAACUCUGUUGCCCAACAAGUGUCAGAUGAAAUGAAGUAAGUGGCAGCAACCAAAAGGGCACAGUCAAAAAGCAACCGUCAGCGAGUGAACAACGUAAAAUAGCGAGUACGCAGUGUUGAGAACGCUUUAUAAAAAAAAUGCAUAAACUGUCAUAUCUGUAUAUAUAUAAAUCUUCUGACCGUUUGUAAUUGAACUGCUCCUAAACGGCUGGACCGAUUUCGAUGAAAUUUUGUGUGUGUGUUCAAGGAAAUUCGAGAAUGGUUUAGAUUCACAAUUUGGUCCACUGGAAAAUGUUUUUGAAGUGAAACUUCUUUACGUGCGCUUGGCUUGGGGAGUAAGCUGACGAACGCCUUACGAAAAGUGUGAUCAGGCGAGGCGAACGGUAAUUGGUGGGGAUAUAGGCAAGCGUCAGCAGUGCGCACGCACAUUUUUCUUUCUUUCUCUUCAGUCAGUAGUUCGUUUGCGAUUUUACUAGCGUUACGCGAAUGGUGAUAGUUUGGUUAUUUUGUUGUAAUUUACUGUAAUUUUAUUGCGUUUUGAAACAAUUUUACGAAUUAAUAUUGUUCAAUACAUUCAAUAUUUUACGUUUAAAGUGAAUAAAAUUGUAAAUUUAUUUUAAAGUUUAUGUUUUCUGAAUUUUCGGGUAAAUAAUAACAAAUUAUGGAGAAAAGUGACACAGACUCCGAGUAUCAAAGCGGUGCUUUAGGACCACCAACUAAGAAGAAAUUACGUACGGAAAUUGUGCAUAAAAAGUGUGUGACAACAGAUUCAAGACAAGAUUUUAAACCUAGUGAGACCCAAUCAAUUGAUAAUGAAUCACGAAGAGGUUUACCAUUACAAAUAAUUGGUGACAUCGUGAUUGAACAUGACAAUAAUCAAAUGGAAGUUAAUGAUGGAAAUCUCACUAUACAUAGAUCAUGUACAAAAACCGAGACAAUUGAUUGAAGUUAGGUUAAAUAAAGCGCCAAAAACUUCUGCAGAACGUGGUCGAGAAUUCAGAGCACGAAAAGCACUGCUUAAACAACAAUGUAAGCAACAACAGGAACCAGAUGCAAUAGUUGAAAUUGCUAAUGAUACCUCGAAUAUAAUAACUUCGAACAUGGACAUUCUAUUACGACAUAUUCGUGAAGUUGAUAUUGGUUAGUCAUCAAUUGGUGAUAUAUGUGCUGCUCACUGUGUUUUGGACGAUGGAACAAACAUCAUAAUGGUAGUUGUUUACAUUUCGCCCAAUAACACAGUUAAUAAUAUCAUAAAGUUUGUAUACAGAAGACUUAUGAUUUAUGGUCGAGUGGGUUCUGAAGAACUAGGAGAAAACUAUCAUACGUUGCCACUAAUCUUAGCAGGAGAUUUCAAUAUCAAUUUCGCAUCCGAAGAUGGACAACUCUUGAUAAACUUUCUACGAGAUAAAUUAGAAUUACAAAUGAAUAAUGACCGUAAUGAACCAACUACAAGACAUGGAACAACAAUCGAUGCAUUUUUUUUCUAAAUUUCAGUCUAAUUUUAAUUCUAAAAUAUAUGUAUCGUAUUUCUCGUAUCAUAAGCCUAUUGUCUCGGUUUUACAAUCAACCACAGUAAUUACUGAUGUACCCAAUAAUGAAAAUAACGAAUAAAACAAUGAAAAAAAAUAAAAGAUCUAUGCAAAAAUAUUAAUUUACUA
Bactrocera neohumeralis is the source of this 2685-nucleotide long non-coding RNA. RefSeq lists it as uncharacterized. The record is from RefSeq and is a predicted model, not a curated record. Lineage: Eukaryota; Metazoa; Arthropoda; Insecta; Diptera; Tephritidae. The transcript has 3 exons.